RNAcentral lists this ribosomal RNA (449 nucleotides) under uncultured bacterium. RNAcentral describes it as "bacterial SSU rRNA". It matches the Rfam family "Bacterial small subunit ribosomal RNA", at positions 355 to 796 of the family's 1533-position model. The record is from RNAcentral.
UGGGGAAUAUUGGACAAUGGGGGCAACCCUGAUCCAGCGAUGCCGCGUGAGUGAAGAAGGCCUUCGGGUCGUAAAGCUCUUUAGGUUGGGAAGAAGUUUGGUGGAGGAUAAUUUCAUCAGAUUGACGGUACCGACAGAAUAAGCACCGGCAAACUCUGUGCCAGCAGCCGCGGUAAUACAGAGGGUGCGAGCGUUAAUCGGAGUUACUGGGCGUAAAGGGCGCGUAGGCGGUUUUAUGUGUGUGAUGUGAAAGCCCUGGGCUUAACCUAGGAAGCGCAUCGCAAACUAUAGAGCUAGAGUAUAUGAGAGGGUGGCGGAAUUUCCGGUGUAGCGGUGAAAUGCGUAGAGAUCGGAAGGAACGUCAAUGGCGAAGGCAGCCACCUGGCAUAAUACUGACGCUGAGGCGCGAAAGCGUGGGGAGCGAACAGGAUUAGAUACCCCGGUAGUCC